This 65-nucleotide transfer RNA is filed under the name Salmo salar (Atlantic salmon). It matches the Rfam family "tRNA". From Rfam's summary of the family: Transfer RNA (tRNA) molecules are approximately 80 nucleotides in length. Their secondary structure includes four short double-helical elements and three loops (D, anti-codon, and T loops). Further hydrogen bonds mediate the characteristic L-shaped molecular structure. tRNAs have two regions of fundamental functional importance: the anti-codon, which is responsible for specific mRNA codon recognition, and the 3' end, to which the tRNAs corresponding amino acid is attached (by aminoacyl-tRNA synthetases). tRNAs cope with the degeneracy of the genetic code in two manners: having more than one tRNA (with a specific anti-codon) for a particular amino acid; and 'wobble' base-pairing, i.e. permitting non-standard base-pairing at the 3rd anti-codon position. Lineage: Eukaryota; Metazoa; Chordata; Actinopteri; Salmoniformes; Salmonidae. The record is from Rfam by way of RNAcentral.
GCAGAAAUAGCUCAGUUGGGAGAGCGUUAGUCUAAAGGUCCCUGGUUCGAUUCCGGGUUUUGCCA